GACUACACACAGCUCUGCACCAUCUGUGCAGCGAUUUCCUCAGGGAGGGAUGCUCAGUCUACCUGCUUUUCUUGAAAUGGGCCCAAUGUCAAAGUCUCUCCUUACUUUCCACCUACAGAAUCAGUGCGGUAGUAAGCUCCUGCUAAUGACGGGACAUAUCCCUCAAGUGUAUGGAAGCAGAAAAAAACCUGACCAUUACUGAUCAAGUGGCCAGAGAGAAAAACCACUCUUGCACUGAGUGAUGAAGGAAAAGUGGGGACAAUCGCUGCACAGCACUGGCUCUUGCUGAACCUCCCAUGGGCGGUGCCAAUAGCCCAUGGGAUUACAGAGACUGAGGCAGUGGUCUAUAUUUUUCCUCCAUGAUUCUAUGGAGUAGAAGUGGGGUGAUUGUUUUGUUCUUGACCCCUCUUAAAAAAAUUGAACAUCCUUUCCA
Suricata suricatta (meerkat) is the source of this 433-nucleotide long non-coding RNA. RefSeq lists it as uncharacterized. Lineage: Eukaryota; Metazoa; Chordata; Mammalia; Carnivora; Herpestidae. The record is from RefSeq and is a predicted model, not a curated record. The transcript has 2 exons.